Pezoporus occidentalis (night parrot) is the source of this 1093-nucleotide long non-coding RNA. RefSeq lists it as uncharacterized. NCBI's taxonomy places the organism in Eukaryota, Metazoa, Chordata, Aves, Psittaciformes, Psittacidae. The record is from RefSeq and is a predicted model, not a curated record. The transcript has 2 exons.
AAAAAAUCUCUGCCUGGCCAGCUGAUAAAUGGGAUAAUUCCCUACGUAUUUUUUGAGGAGCUGGGAUCCUUUCUGUUUUAUCUUAUCCUCUGUCAGAAGCCAUGAUGCCAUUGCAAAGAAAUAACUUAGAAUUCUGUAGGUAACCAGAUGUUAAAAAAGAAUUGGGGCAGAUGUCGUGCUUAAGCACUAUGCACUACAGUGCAGUUAGGUACACUUGUUACGGAUUAAGAUAAGGAGGAUAGGCUUUUAGCGGUGAAUAGAAUAAACAAAACAACCCUCCCAGCUUUUUCCUAGUGCUGUUUUACCUGCCCAGCAGCAUCUUACACAUCUCUCCAAGCCUGGUAGGUAUGACACAGGACUUGCAGGAGACAACAACCUUCUAGAGCAGUGGCUGGAGCUCAGACUGGACACCCUGGGGCAGCUCAAGAGUCGUUCUGGUGUUAGGCACUUAGGCAGUGGAAUUCUGCCACAAAGGAUCAGCAUUUAGAUGGUUAGGCCAUUUGGGCUGGCCUUGUAAUAACUAGGUAUAAAGUGGGGUUUGGCUGUUGGUAGUUAGAUUUCUAUCAGGAGGGCUGUUCGAACUGCUGCUCUUAGUGAUCUGGCAGUCCAGCAGGUUGUUUCAGUUAGUGCUAAAUCCUCAAGUGGUGUGGUUGCAUUUUAUGACACUUGCAGGCCUGUCAGUCUGCUUGCAAAUUUUGUCAAGUCUUCCAAAAAGCUAAGAUAGCACUUGAAUUCUACAGAUUUUAUAGUACUGCCCUGUUAAAAGUUUGAGCCAUUUCAGAAAGAGAUGGUAGUGAUAAUGUUGAAAACCAGCACGUUGUUCUCAGAGAAUGCAUGUUGCCUCAUGCAGAACACCAGGUUCCAGCUCCCUUACUCACACUCCAGUUGCUUACUCUGUAAGGCUUUACGCUGGGGUUAAGAAAGUUGUUUAGUCAACACUGAAGCUUAAAAGUCAAUUUUAUCUAAGACCACGGGCCCUAAAGUGCUGUAAUAGUGUGGUUAAUAUGACAUCAUUGCAAGGCUGAGUGAAGGUCAUCUGCGUGUAUCUGCUGCAUUCUGGUGCUAUAAGCUUACAUUAAGAAAGUAACUUAAA